Molecule: ribosomal RNA, 445 nt
Filed under: uncultured bacterium
Lineage: Bacteria
Description: partial 16S ribosomal RNA
Rfam family: Bacterial small subunit ribosomal RNA
Source: RNAcentral
GUAGGGAAUAUUGGGCAAUGGAAGGAAUUCUGACCCAGCCAUGCCGCGUGCAGGAAUACAGUCCUAUGGACUUUAAACUGCUUUUAUUAUAGAGUAACCUGGGGGACGUGUCCCCCACUGCAAGUAUAUAAUGAAUAAGCAUCGGCUAACUCCGUGCCAGCAGCCGCGGUAAUACGGGGGAUGCAAGCGUUAUCCGGAAUUAUUGGGUUUCAAGGGUGCGCAGGCUGAUCGGUAAGUCAUGGGUGAAAAGUCACUGCUUAACAGUGAUCGUGCCUAUGAUACUGCCGGACUAGAGUUUAAGAGGUGUAACUGGAAUGUGAUGUGUAGCGGUGAAAUGCUUAGAUAUGUCACAGAACGCCAAUCGUGAAGACAGGUUACAAACUUAAUACUGACGCUCAUGCACGAAAGCGUGGGGAUCAAACAGGAUUAGAAACCCCUGUAGUCC